Centruroides sculpturatus (bark scorpion) is the source of this 790-nucleotide long non-coding RNA. RefSeq lists it as uncharacterized. The record is from RefSeq and is a predicted model, not a curated record. The transcript is spliced from 2 exons. NCBI's taxonomy places the organism in Eukaryota, Metazoa, Arthropoda, Arachnida, Scorpiones, Buthidae.
CGUGGCUUCCCGAUAACCUGUCCGCACACUGUAUGGCUUGCAAAGCUCCUUUCACCAUCAUACGUCGUCGCCAUCACUGCAGAAACUGCGGAAAAAUAUUUUGCUCCCGGUGUAGCUCGAAUUCUGUCCCGUUACCUCGCUACGGACAUAACAAACCCGUGAGAGUGUGCAAUCAGUGCUUUUCUUAUCAGCUAGCUUGUCUCGUGGUUAGUUCGCAGUACUGACGACGCAUGUUCCUAGAUACAUUUGCUAAUUUUCAAGUUUUAUGGGUUCUUUACAAAAUUUAUCACGUAUUACUGGUAGUACAUCCCAAAUUGUGAGCGUAUCCCCGGAUGCGCAUGUCAAAAAUGACCGUCAACAUUGUGAUAGUAGUGAAUGUAUGUGUACGUACGUCUUCCUCCACCUAAUUUUAGGAAUAAUUGCUCAAGUGAUUUGGCAAUUAGUUGUUUAAUUCUCCAGGCUUUACAAAAGACAUCGUAAACCUUGUCCGAACAAAAAAAAAAUACAAGAUCGGGACGUUUAACUUCCAAGAUUUAAAUGUGUAAUUAGUAGCAAGUGUAGAUUGUAUAAAUUUUCAUUUCAAUACUUGUGCUUUUGCAUAAUUUAUAUAUAUACAUAAUAUACAUAUUAUUUGCUAAUAAUUUCCUUUGUUUUCUUGGAAAAUGUUGGUGAGUGUACAUAAUGGAUCAGGAAUAUAUAUAUAAUUAUGUUAAAAAUUAUAAAAAUGUUAUAAACAAGGUAUAUAAGAACAUUCAAUUUCUGUGAUAAAUAAAUUUUUGUGAAAACUUCA